Molecule: ribosomal RNA, 253 nt
Filed under: uncultured bacterium
Lineage: Bacteria
Description: partial 16S ribosomal RNA
Rfam family: Bacterial small subunit ribosomal RNA
Source: RNAcentral
UACGUAGGCAGCGAGCGUUGUUCGGAGUUACUGGGCGUAAAGGGUGUGUAGGCGGUUGUUUAAGUUUGGUGUGAAAUCUCCCGGCUCAACUGGGAGGGUGCGCCGAAUACUGAGUGACUAGAGUGCGGGAGAGGAAAGUGGAAUUCCUGGUGUAGCGGUGAAAUGCGUAGAUAUCAGGAGGAACACCGGUGGUGUAGACGGCUUUCUGGACCGUAACUGACGCUAAGACACGAAAGCGUGGGUAGCAAACAGG